Molecule: long non-coding RNA, 826 nt
Organism: Hippocampus comes (tiger tail seahorse)
Lineage: Eukaryota; Metazoa; Chordata; Actinopteri; Syngnathiformes; Syngnathidae
Exons: 2
Source: RefSeq, a predicted model, not a curated record
UUUCUGGAAUAAUCACAUUUUUGGGGUCACGAAAUAUGAUUUUCAUGUUGUAUUAAAAAUGGCUUGUUAUGAAAAAAUAAAAUCUCCAAAUGACUAUUUUCAUGAUAUAAACACAUUUUGUAGUAAAUGUGUCUAUAUGCUAUCAGGGAGGACAACAAAAACUGAGAAUAUCUGCAAAGUGGAAAUGUCUAGGACUUGGACAAUAACAUAACGAUUGAUUGAUUGCAGAUGAACCGCUGACGUGUUGAGGCAAUUGAAGGACCUGGCCUUCAGAUGAGAGCCGUGUCCAUGUGUCCCAGACAAAGGCAAGUCGGCGAGUGGCCUUGAGCAGAAUCCUGAUCAGGGUGUAGGGUCCUGAUAUUCUGACACACGACGGUCGUCUCCUUUUUGGAAGUAACGACGACACCUAUCGACCGCAGGUGGAACAGCUGCCUCCAAAGUAACAAGUCUUGACAACGGCGCACUACUCGAAUUGAGGUGAGUUGUUCAACUACUCUGUCGUAUUGAAUUAAAAUCGCCUGAUAUGAAAACCAGUCCUCAAAACCAGUGCAAUGUAAACAUUUGUGCUCUCGAUUCAGAAACGUCAUCACGCCCCCGUUUCAGGAUGAAGCCGUUUUAUUGACAGAAAUUCAGUACAGUAUUUCCAAUUGCAUCGAUCUCAAACAUCCGUAACGCCACAUGCAUGACACAAGCGCUCAGGCCAACAAGUGCUUUACUUUUGCUAAAUAAAUUAACUCGAACUUAUUUGAUCUUCGCGCCAAAACGAACCAGAGUUAACAAAUAAAUGCUCUCGCAGUUAAGUUUAAUGCUCUUGUUCGCCCCCCCC